RNAcentral lists this ribosomal RNA (2369 nucleotides) under human gut metagenome. Its description in RNAcentral is "bacterial LSU rRNA". It matches the Rfam family "Bacterial large subunit ribosomal RNA", at positions 3 to 2462 of the family's 2925-position model. The record is from RNAcentral.
UCAAGCGAACAAGGGCGCAGGGCGAAUGCCUUGGCACUGGGAGCCGAUGAAAGACGUGAUAAGCUGCGAUAAGCUUCGGGGAGCUGCAAAUAAGCAUUGAUCCGGAGAUUUCUGAAUGAGGAAACUCACCUGGGUUCAUACUCAGGUACAAUACACUGAAAUUUAAAAUAGGUGUAUUGAGGGAACCGCCUGAACUGAAACAUCUAAGUAGGGCGAGGAAGAGACAUCAAACGAGAUUCCGUAAGUAGUGGCGAGCGAACGCGGAAGAGGGCAAACCGAGAGUAGAAAUACUUUCGGGGUACGGACUGCUUUUAAGACUCAAUCUGUUAACCGAACGGCAUGGGAAGGCCGGUCAGAGAGUGUGAGAACCACGUAGGUGAAAACGGAGAGAGCUGCGCAGGAUCCAGAGUACGGCCAGACACGUGAAACCUGGUCGGAAUACGGGGGGACCACCCUCCAACCCUAAAUACUACCCAGUGACCGAUAGCGUAUAGUACUGUGAAGGAAAGGUGAAAAGCACCCCGGGAGGGGAGUGAAAAAGAACCUGAAACCCUGUGCCUACAAGCACCUAGAGCGCGUCAAUGCGUGAUAGGGUACUUUUUGUAGAACGGUCCGGCGAGCGAUUGUAUGCAGCAAGGUUAAGGACUUAAGGUCUGGAGCCGAAGCGAAAGCGAGUUUGAAAAGGGCGUUAAGUUGCAUAUAAUGGGCCCGAAACCGGGUGACCUACCCAUGGUCAGGUUGAAGUGGAAGUAAAAUUCCAUGGAGGACCGAACCGACCUCCGUUGAAAAGGCGGCGGAUGAACUGUGGGUAGCGGAGAAAUUCCAAUCGAACCCGGAGAUAGCUGGUUCUCCCCGAAAUAGUUUUAGGACUAGCCUCAAGUUAGAUACCUGGAGGUAAAGCACUGAAUAGCCUAGCGGCCGAGAGGUUAGCGAAGCUUAUCAAACUCAGAAUGCCAGAGUAUUGAUGCUUGGGAGUCAGACAGUGUCAGAUAAAUGUCAUUGUCAAAAGGGAAACAGCCCAGAUCUACAGCUAAGGUCCCAAAGUCAGGUUAAGUGGAAAACGAUGUGAAGAUACGCAGACAACCAGGAUGUUGGCUCAGAAGCAGCCACUCAUUCAAAGAGUGCGUAAUAGCUCACUGGUCGAGCGUCUUUGCGCGGAGAAUUUAACGGGGCUAAACCUGACACCGAAGCUUAGGCAAUACAGCAAUGUAUUGGGUAGGGGAGCGUUGUAUACGCGGUGAAACAGUAGCGCAAGCGGCUGUGGAGUGUAUAGAAGUGAGAAUGCCGGAAUGAGUAGCGCGAAUGCAGUGAGAAUCUGCAUGGCCGAAAGCCUCAGGUUUCUGGAGGAAGGUUCGUCCGCUCCAGGUUAGUCGGGAGCUAAGGUGAGGCCUAACGGCGUAGCCGAUGCACAGACGGUAGAGAUUCCGUCACCACCAAAAGAGUUAAGCACAGGGACACAUUUGAAGUCUCGGAGCCGGGUGUUGGUUCCGGUAGCGAUCGAGGGAAGUUAGUACCGAAGUCCGGGAUGGAAGAUGGCGAGAAAAGCUGUGUGUAUUUCUGCGGUGCCCGUACCGCAAACCGACACAGGUAGGUAGGAAGAAGAUUCUAAGGCCAACGGGAGAAGGGUUGUUAAGGAACUCGGCAAAUUGACCCCGUAACUUCGGGAGAAGGGGUGCUCCAGAGAUGGAGCCGCAGAGAAUCGGCCCAAGCAACUGUUUACCAAAAACACAGGUUUGUGCUAAAUCGAAAGAUGACGUAUACGAGCUGACGCCUGCCCGGUGCUGGAAGGUUAAGAGGAGAUGUGCAAGCAUUGAAUCGAAGCCCCAGUGAACGGCGGCCGUAACUAUAACGGUCCUAAGGUAGCGAAAUUCCUUGUCAGGUAAGUUCUGACCCGCAUGAAAGGCGUAAUGAUUUGGGCACUGUCUCAACAGCCCGCCCGGCGAAAUUGUAGUACCGGUGAAGAUGCCGGUUACCCGCGACAAGACGGAAAGACCCCAUGGAGCUUUACUGUAGCCUAAUAUUGGGUUUCGAUGUUGCAUGCACAGGAUAGAUGGGACACUGGGAAGUGAUCGCUUUGGCGGUCGUGGAGUGGCCGUUGGGAUACCAUCCUUGCGAUAUUGGAAUUCUAACCUGCGGCUCUGAAUCGAGUCGGGGGACAUUGUUAGGUGGGCAGUUUGACUGGGGCGGUCGCCUCCUAAAGAGUAACGGAGGCGUUCAAAGGUUCGCUCAGCUUGAACGGAAAUCAAGCAAAAGAGUGCAAACGCAGAAGCGAGCCUAACUGCGAGACUGACGGGUCGAGCAGUAACGAAAGUUGGAGUUAGUGAUCCGGUGGUAUGUGAGUGGAAAUGCCAUCGCUCAACGGAUAAAAG